CCGUAUUGAAGUGAUUCAGCUAGAAAUUGAUAAUCUUCAUUUUAACACUGCUCUGAGUUAAUGGCUGCUCUUGAAAAGGUAUUGAAUCCACCUGGAAUUUCCUUGUGUUUAUGGUUCAAGCUGUUCGUGAGUAUUAUACCACUUGACGACUGAGGCAGAAUCAAAGAAAGUACUAAUGCUCUUCAGUAAAAUAUACAAAACUACAGACAAUGGCAGUGCCUUAUUUUGUAAAGUAUAUAGCUAUGAGCCUUUGCUACUCCUUGCUGACAUUUGGAAUUUAACUGAAGUGUCUUGUUAAAAAACAUUUAUGGAAAUAAAAAGAAUAUCUUUCCUUUUUAGGGAUAUAAA
Molecule: long non-coding RNA, 348 nt
Filed under: Homo sapiens (human)
Lineage: Eukaryota; Metazoa; Chordata; Mammalia; Primates; Hominidae
Description: non-protein coding LINC00376:5
Source: RNAcentral